RNAcentral lists this ribosomal RNA (305 nucleotides) under uncultured bacterium. Its description in RNAcentral is "bacterial SSU rRNA". It matches the Rfam family "Bacterial small subunit ribosomal RNA", at positions 336 to 657 of the family's 1533-position model. The record is from RNAcentral.
UUCCUACGGGAGGCAGCAGUGGGGAAUAUUGCACAAUGGGGGAAACCCUGAUGCAGCGACGCCGCGUGAGCGAAGAAGUAUUUCGGUAUGUAAAGCUCUAUCAGCAGGGAAGAAAAAUGACGGUACCUGAGUAAGAAGCACCGGCUAAAUGCGUGCCAGCAGCCGCGGUAAUACGUAUGGUGCAAGCGUUAUCCGGAUUUACUGGGUGUAAAGGGAGCGCAGGCGGUGCGGCAAGUCUGGAGUGAAAUGCCGGGGCUCAACCCCGGAACUGCUUUGGAAACUGUGCGGCUCGAGUGCGGGAGAGG